AUUGAACGCUGGCGGCAUGCCUUACACAUGCAAGUCAAACGGUAACAGGUCUUCGGAUGCUGACGAGUGGCGAACGGGUGAGUAAUACAUCGGAACGUGCCUAGUAGUGGGGGAUAACUACUCGAAAGAGUGGCUAAUACCGCAUGAGAUCUACGGAUGAAAGCAGGGGAUCGCAAGACCUCGUGCUACUAGAGCGGCCGAUGGCAGAUUAGGGAGUUGGUGGGAUAAAAGCUUACCAAGCCGACGAUCUGUAGCUGGUCUGAGAGGACGAUCAGCCACGAUGGGACUGGGACACGGCCCAGACUCCUACGGGAGGCAGCAGGUGGGAAUUGUGGACAAUGGGCGAAAGCCGGAUCCAGCAAUGCCGCGUGCAGGAUGAAGGCGUUCGGGUUGUAAACGGCUUUUGUACGGAACGAAAAGCCCCGGGUUAAUGCCCUGGGGUCAUGACGGUACCGUAAGAAUAAGCACCGGCUAACUACGUGCCAGCCGCAGUAAAAC
RNAcentral lists this ribosomal RNA (498 nucleotides) under uncultured bacterium. RNAcentral's name for it is "partial 16S ribosomal RNA". It matches the Rfam family "Bacterial small subunit ribosomal RNA", at positions 30 to 526 of the family's 1533-position model. The record is from RNAcentral.